ACUCAAAUGAAUUGACGGGGACCCGCACAAGCGGUGGAGCAUGUGGUUCAAUUCGAUGCAACGCGAAGAACCUUACCUGGCCUUGACAUGUCUGGAAGACCGUAGAGAUAUGGUUGUGCCCGAAAGGGAACCAGAACACAGGUGCUGCAUGGCUGUCGUCAGCUCGUGUCGUGAGAUGUUGGGUUAAGUCCCGCAACGAGCGCAACCCUUGUCCUUAGUUGCCAGCACUUCGGGUGGGCACUCUAAGGAGACCGCCGGUGACAAACCGGAGGAAGGUGGGGAUGACGUCAAGUCAUCAUGGCCUUUAUGGCCAGGGCUACACACGUGCUACAAUGGCCGGUACAAAGGGUUGCCAACUCGCAAGAGGGAGCCAAUCCCAUAAAGCCGGUCGUAGUCCGGAUCGGAGUCUGCAACUCGACUCCGUGAAGUCGGAAUCGCUAGUAAUCGCAGAUCAGCAUUGCUGCGGUGAAUACGUUCCCGGGUCUUGUACACACCGCCCGU
RNAcentral lists this ribosomal RNA (501 nucleotides) under uncultured bacterium. RNAcentral describes it as "partial 16S ribosomal RNA". It matches the Rfam family "Bacterial small subunit ribosomal RNA", at positions 899 to 1397 of the family's 1533-position model. The record is from RNAcentral.